CUGUUCAGAUAGCCAUGCAUGUCUAAGUAUAAAUGGUAUACAAUGAAACUGCGAAAGGCUCAUUAAAACAGUUAUAGUUUAUUUGGUAAUCAAACUUACAUAGGAUAACCGUGGUAAUUCUAGAGCUAAUACAUAGCUGUUCUGCCCGACUUACGAAGGGCCGUAUUUAUUAGAUAUCAGCCAAUAAGCAUCCGCUAUUGUGGUGACUCAUAGUAACUUAAUCGGAUCGCAUGGGCUCGUCCCGCGACAAACCAUUCAAGUUUCUGCCCCAUCAUGCUUUCGAUGAUAGUGUAUUGGACUACCAUGGCUUUCACGGGUAACGGAGGAUUAGGGUUCGAUUCCGGAGAGGGAGCCUGAGAAACGGCUACCACUUCCACGGAAGGCAGCAGGCGCGUAAAUUACCCAAUCCUAAUUCAGGGAGGUAGUGACAAGAAAUAAUGGGUCGGAGUUUUGCUCCGGGACUGCAAUGAGACGAAUUUAGACCCCUUAUCGAGGACCAA
RNAcentral lists this ribosomal RNA (500 nucleotides) under uncultured eukaryote. RNAcentral describes it as "bacterial SSU rRNA". It matches the Rfam family "Eukaryotic small subunit ribosomal RNA", at positions 36 to 547 of the family's 1831-position model. The record is from RNAcentral.